CCUUAUAGUGGGGGAGUAGCCUUUCGAAAGGAAGAUUAAUACCGCAUAAGAUUGUAGUAUCGCAUGAUAUAGCAAUUAAAGGAGCAAUUCGCUAUAAGAUGGACCCGCGUCGCAUUAGCUAGUUGGUGAGGUAAUGGCUCACCAAGGCGACGAUGCGUAGCCGACCUGAGAGGGUGAUCGGCCACAUUGGGACUGAGACACGGCCCAGACUCCUACGGGAGGCAGAUG
Molecule: ribosomal RNA, 228 nt
Filed under: uncultured bacterium
Lineage: Bacteria
Description: partial 16S ribosomal RNA
Rfam family: Bacterial small subunit ribosomal RNA
Source: RNAcentral